AUGGCUCUUGAAGAGGCGAAUGCGGAGCGCAUUCGUUUGGAUAAAGUUGUUGCCAGCCUUCAGGCUGAGGUUCAGGCCCGGGAGGUCGCGGUUACAGACCUUACUGCCCGCGUGUCUGUUGCGGAGGAGCGGGCUGAUGCCGCUGUUGAGGCCAAGGAUGCCUUGGUGUCCUCUUUUGACCAGCUGAAGGCUGACCGUGAGUGGUUGCGGACUCACGGUAUCGCGCGUAUUGUUGAGGCUAUCAUGGAUGCC
Molecule: long non-coding RNA, 252 nt
Organism: Helianthus annuus (common sunflower)
Lineage: Eukaryota; Viridiplantae; Streptophyta; Magnoliopsida; Asterales; Asteraceae
Exons: 3
Source: RefSeq, a predicted model, not a curated record